Molecule: long non-coding RNA, 8689 nt
Organism: Conger conger (European conger)
Lineage: Eukaryota; Metazoa; Chordata; Actinopteri; Anguilliformes; Congridae
Exons: 4
Source: RefSeq, a predicted model, not a curated record
ACAUCCCUGCGAUAGUCCGUCUGAUUCAAAGCACGCACAAGCUCUCUUGCACGCAGCGUGCUAUUCUGAAAAGUGGACCUUUAACUGAGACUACAAAACAAGACGGACAAAAGGUGGUAAAAUUAAGGGGGGUGAGGGCGUGUGAUGGGCGGAGUUCAUUUUGUAAUCUUGCCCCACUACAUUUCGCGGCGGAUCAGACACAGACUUUUUUAGACCAGCUCCUGGCUGUGUGAGCGCUCUGACAAGGAUACUGGUAGGGACGAUCAAACCCCAGCGUGCAAACUACAGCUGGCCCGGCGACAGAGACACAGAGGAAGCCGAACCCUGAGGCUCACCACUGGAGACCACGAGGAAGAGGAGGAGAAUGAAGAUGAGCCAGAGCCCGAAGCCCAGAGUGGGACCUCCGCCCGCACCGCCUCCCUCCCGAAUUCGGACCCCGCCUGGGACGCAUCUCCUGCAGCAAACAGGCUCCCACCUGCAGAGCAACAGCAAGCAGGGUUACUCUGUGUCCCGUUCAUAGAUGCAAGCCAGACAGGUACCAUUACUGCCAUUCGACAUGUAUAUAUAUAUAUAUAUAUGUGGCUUCACGCGUCAAACGUUUCCUUGUGGAGUGAGCGCAAGUGUUUUUAACAGGGAUUUGAGCAGGGUACAGAGGAAGCGGAUAAAAAAAUUAUCACUGCUAGUGUGGAAGUGCGUUCCUGCGUUAAAAUGCACUCCUUGCUGAAGGAUAUCAGAAUCAUUUUGCAAUAAAUAAGUCACAAGUUGAUUAUAAUAGGCUCUCAUGCUCGGUGUUGGAUUUCGCUUGUUUAAUAUUACUGUUGGCUGCACUGAAUGUGAAAAUGUACAACUACUUGUAGUGCUACUACUAAAAUUUCCCUCGGGAUGAAUAUGGUAUCUAUCUAUCUAUCUAUCUAUCUAUCUAUCUAUCUAUCUAGUGCUACCAUGCUACCUCUGUUGCUUUAUGGGCCAACCGGAGCCGCUGGUUGCCAAACCUUUCUUUAGAGAGUCUACAGGAAAUCUCUGUUUAUUCCAGAUAAUUGGUCAAAUACUUUCCCGAGUGUGACAUUGAGUCAUAUUUAAGUAUUUCUGUUGAGCGGGGAUAGACAAUUACAGUUUUCUAAUUGUGUGUCACUGCAUGGUAAUUAUGAGUCAUUAUGAAAAUAACUGCUGAUAGUCCCUGCAGUUGUGUUAUAUUAUUGGACUAUGCUAUCAAUGCAAGCAUGCUUGGAAGGACACUGAAGUGGUUAACAUCUGUACUGCUUUUUCGAUAAUUGCCCCGGGACCUGUAAUGAAUGCUGCAAGUCAGGAUCUCGGCGUAACAUCGUCUGAAAGGUACCUCCUAAAGCACAGGAUCCCCAUCGGUGGUGCCCGGUUUUUCUCCCCCAAUACUGCCCCCUCCUGGCUUUCCAGGAGACAGGCCCACUAAACACUCCGCACUCACCAUUACCUGCUAAUUCAACGCAACACUUACAAAGAAUUUAAAAAAAGAACAAAUCCAAAAAACCUAGUAUUCAUAGGGUUAAGAGAGCUGUAUAGGUUAUUUGUGCUAUUUCUCUAGAUUUUUUACAUUUCACAUUAAUGAUUAUGUAUGUCGAAAUAAAUAAGAAACAAAAUAGUUUGCUGUUCCAGGAUUCUUAUUAAGUCACAUAGAUUAAUUGUCUGUUUUUAACUCAGUGACCUUUUGCUCAUUUGGAGACUUAACACUAGCAAAGUAUUCCCAAAUUGUGGGAAUCACGUGUGUUGAUAGUCUCUAAUCGGGUGAUCCAGUUAACAGUGUAAGCAGUGUCCCUCAAAUUCAGAAAUGUAACACCAUAGCCCUUAUUGGGUGCAAGUAACAGGGCUUGUGGUGGUGAGGGGUGGGGUGGGCAUGUCCGAAGCACCCCCCACCCCUCCCCUGUUCUGUGGCGUCCGUUUCCAUGGCUACGGGGGAGGAGCCGCACCAGGUCGUGUUCCACUUUCUGCUGCUCUCCUUUACUCUGUUCCUCUGCAGGAGGGGACCCGGGGGAGGGGCGGAGCAAGAGGGGAGGGUGACCCCCCCCCCCCCCCGCCCUAAAAAUGAGUCUCCAUCAUCUGUGUCAAUCUGCCGGUCCCACUGCCAGCACAGCAAGCAGGUUCAGAGUGGGGGUGACCCUUAGGGAAGGAACCGGUUGCUUCUCUGUCCAAGGAGAGGAGGAGGAAUCUGUGCUGAGGACCCCCGAUUUCUCUCCAGUGCCACCUUCAAGCUCGGCAGAAGAAUGCUAUCAAAGACAAAUCUGUUGUUAUGUAACACACACCAUUAAAUUAAGCUUUAAGUGAAUGUCCUUUAGGAGGAAAAAAGAACCUUCAGGUGAUGAGUUCAGGGUAUGAUUAGUGUAUGGCCCCUACAAGGCUGGUCUGGAAAUAAUUUGUGUGGCCAACUGAGCGCUUUCCCAGGGGUUUAAAUCCCCUUAAAUUGGCCUAAACUGCAGUUGUAGCUGAUUGGUGUGCCUGUGCAAGGGAGUUGAGCUCAGCUGCACUCCCUUAGUUUGUCAGCCCCUGUCACUCAUCUCAGCUGGAGUAGGUUAGACAAUGAAGGAUGGGGGUGUGAACUCACUGACCCUGCAGACUGAGGGGACAAAUGUACACUUGUGGACUGGGUCGAGGUUGGAGGUCUUUCACUGGCCUGUACUGCAGUAGACACCACUGUCUGAAGAUAAGUCACCUUGUCAGAUAAUUCUGGGAAUAAUGGCGGAAGGAGAAAUAAUCCAUAGGAAAACUGCCGUAAUCUUCCAUCACUGUUGCCCUGUCGUCGUCGUAGUCGUCACCUCCUGACGAAAUUGAUAGAGUAGGGUGCCACCGCUUUCUGAACCCUUCGAUAAGCUUCCUCUGACUCCCGCCCCCACCCCCGCCCUCCUGUACACCACUGCAGUUAAUUGGCUGUUCCGCUAAUUGACACCUCCGGCAAUGACUUUUCUUCCCUCCUGUGUGCGUUGGCGACGUCCGAGCGCUGCUGUGACCGGGUAGGCGUUUCUCGCGGUUGAGGCUUUGUAACAGUUGUUUGUUGGCGUUUCUUGGGUUUCUUGGGAAGAACAGUGGUGAUCCAACCAUGGUGUUUUAGGGCAUGGGGGUUGAGGGCAUCACUGAGAUUUAGAGGUGAACGCAGGUUCAAGGUGUAGAAGCUGUUUUGCAAGUCUAACAUGCAAUUCAAAAGUCUUACAUCAAACAUCAGAAUAUGAAAGGCUACGAAAUAUUUAUUUUGAACAAUUUCAUUUUUGUAUGAUGACUAAAUAUAUUUUACAAGAUAGGGAAACAAUUGGCGAUAUAAAUGUGGCGAUAGUCAGUAUAUGUUGUGUUGAAUAUAGCAUGCUUUUAAUUUCAUUUUGGAUUUGAUAUUAUACCACAUGUAAUCAUACAUACCUUUUUUCAUGAGACAAAGCUUGUGCACGCACUAUACAGAUAUGUGUAAAAGAAAACAGGGGAAGGAGUUUGUGCCUUACCACAAACUUCGAGUUAUUUAUGGAAAGGGUGGGUCAACCUUAGUGAAUUUCUCCUGAAGGGACAGGCAUCCUCUAAAAUGGCGUCCUGUGUAUUGUUAAAUGCUACUUGAUGUAUUUGACUGAAACCGUUUCAUUUGCGAUGCAUGAGAGGAAAGCAUGGCAGAUUGUUCGCUCAUUUCUCAUUUGACAAGCUUAUCUUAUUUUGCGAGGUAUUUGAAAGACCCCGAUUGGGCCAGUUCAAGCACUGAAUUGCAUAUUCGCCUGACUGCACGGCAGACCGUUCGCUCAUUCAGUAAAACGUAUCAUCUAUAUUCACCAAGGUAUUUCACAGACCACAAUUGGCCUGGUUCAGGCACUGAACUGCACAUUCACCCAAUCGCCUUGCCCCAGAUCUAAAGUCAGAGGCCAAAACAUUCCGGAGUCUGUGAAAUGCUCUCUCUUUGCGCCAUUAGUCUGUGUACCAAGACCGUUAGCUAAUGCAUUUGGCCCAAAUCUUCAUAUUUCCCAUAAGCCAUACAAGUUUUGCUUCGCUCUGCAAAAAUGAGAACUAAUUGGUUUAUCUUUUGCCAGUAGCCUUGGCCUACUAAAACACCAGUGUUGCACACUAACCAAUUCCAGUGGUGUUUGUCACAAAUUUUCACAGCCUGGUAGUUUUUAAAGAACCUAGUACCCCUGACAAUGGCUUUUAACCCCAUGUAUUAUUCUGCUCACCGCCAUGUAAUAGUGUAGGUGCCUUAUUAUUGGCUCUGGUGUGCUGGUUGUCUUAAUCUUGUAUCUUCAAGUUCUCUCUUCUUCUCACUUUCCAUCUUUAUAUCCUGUUUGAGCUGCAUGCGUGGGCUACUCCGGUUGCCCUGGAAACUUUAACCAGUGGUUUGACGAACUAACAAACACCAGUAAAGCUGGUUACUAACCUUUACUAACAGAGAUUAACCAACUAAACCAAAACCUUGCAAGCCAAGGAAGUGUACUGAAACUGUCUUUCCUGUAACUGUUGUGCUGUUACUGCUCUUUUCUGUGUGUGUUUGUGUUUGUGUGUGUGUGUGUGUGUGUGUGUGUGUGUGUGUAUGUGCGUGCACUGGCAUUUUUGAAUAUGGUGGUGUGUCCUUUGGUGAAUGUGGCUUUGUGUGACUUUGUUGAUAGGAUGAAGAGUGUGUGUAUGUGUGUACAUGUGGAUACUGCUGUGUGUGUGUGUGUGUGUGUGUGUAUGUGUAUGUGUGUGUGCGCACGUGUGUGUGUGAAUGCAUUAACAGAGUGGUGUCUGCUUGUGAAUAUUGCUCUGUACUGUGUGUGUAUGUGUCAGUUUGUGCAUACAGAGAACUGUCUAAUGUUAUCAUACUGUAUAUAUCUCACAACUCCCUACCAUUCAUCUGGCACAAGAAUUGUUCUGAAAAACAAAACAAAAAACUGCCCAUUCUCUUCCUGGCAUUGUGGGCCGAAGGCCUAAUGAAAUCUAACACUUUACUAACGUCUAACAAUUCUAACAAUGCUGUGACUAACCCCUGCAGUAGAUGGUGUGCGUACUGUGGGCUAGGCUUACUAACUGAUCCCACCAGGCUCUGUGGCUCCCUUCCCACAAUCCCCUGCUUCUGGAAACAAUUCGCCAUCCCUGGCAGACUUGCUAAGACACAAAACAAUAAUACCACGAGUGUCAAAUUUCAUAUCACAGUUCUGAAAUUCAGCAAGGGCUAUUCUUUUUGUGUGAUACAUAUUCCCUGCAGAACCAGUGUCGAGAGCUCUAAAUUGGGGGUCCUCAUUCCAGAGCACAAUAUAUCCACGGUUUCGAAAAAAGAAAAGAACAAAGCUUCAUUUGGUAAUACUUUCCAAAAAUCUCACAGAUGACGUUUCAUUAUGUCUAUACAGGUAGUUACAUUUGAAAACUCCGCUUUAAGCAAGCAGUCUUUCAGGGGUUGCAGAAAUAGUUUCAGAACCAGGAAUGAAGCCACGGUUUUGAGUAAAACACAAUCUUUUCACAGUGCCUACACAGUAGACCGGGGAGGGUGUGGUAAGCCAAGAGAACUUGGAACUCAUUGGCUGUUAAAGUCUGUCAAAAGCCAAAAAAUUACAUCACUAUUACGGGUUCAGUUCAUCACAAGAGAGAAAACUGGAGAGAGAAAAAAAGCUAGCAGUCAGCCAUCAAGCAAUUAAUAAUGACAUUAAUAACAAAUUUACAAUGCAGCCGUGUCAUUUGCACACAAACAAUAUCUGCUCCAAGGAGCUAGUUUCUUAAGUACCGUCAAGCCGAGUCUUUGACCUUCAGGCAAAAUAUUUCAAUGUCAAUCAAUUCGCCCUCCUUCCCGUUACACUGUGUGGCCAUGUGACAUGUUGUCCUGUGCUUGGUUUGUAGCUUGGACAAAUCAUUGCUACUUACCGUCAUUCUUUCUACCCCUUCGAUAAUCAGAAAUCAAGGGGAACGCACUAACCCACCUUUUUUACACUACUAACGACCUGGUGAUGAGAUGACUGAGAUACUAACACCCCUAGAGGUAACGCCGCUCUCCGACUAACUCUUUAGAUCCUCGACUAACGCACGCUUCAUUUCCUUGCGCGCCCUCUACUUACCCCCCCCCCCCCCCCCUUGCCAACUUUCCGAGGGUGCGGAGACGGCAGCUAACACGACUCACCUCUUUACUAACAUACGCCUACGUGAAGGUCACGGUUGGUGCCAUUACUAACUGACGUGGGGACCGGGUGAGCCUGCCCGAUGCUGCUCAUACCCCCUGCCCCAGAGGAAAUGCACUGUACUAACGCUUAUGGGGCUACGGCUAGCUAGCUAGCCAGCCCACCACUAACAUGCACCCUGCACCACCCCCCCUCCUCCCUAAAAGCUAACAAACUAAUAACUGGACCACUGCGCUCUGACUGUCACUAUGUAAGUGCUCCUUUAUAACAUUUAGUUAGACAUGAAACCUGUUAACACUGCAAAUAUACAGCAUAUAUUAGGACAUAUAUUGUUGGGGCUAUUGCCACUUUAAUAAAUGCCUUUUUGUGAUAAUGUUUUUGAAAUAAGUACAUGUAAAUGUAAUAUAUGUACUGAAUAUGUGUGCUCAUAUAUUGAAUAGUAUGUACAGCUUGCCGUGGCUUAUUUCUUAAACAGUGUAUGCCUGUGCAUACGCCGCCAUUUUAAACUGAGCUAAUAUAUGCUGUAUUGCCAUAUAUCUGUAGUAAAUUUGUAUUUGUAAGUGUUCACCCCUGAAUGAGGUGUCGUUCAUGGAGCCAUUUUGUGAACGGAGGGAGUGACAGGAGCAGCGUUCAGGGACAGUGGGGGUGGGAACGGAGAAGCCUCUGGAGGCCCAGGGUUUCAGAUAUGUGACCCUGCCGAACGAACGCGUGUGAAACAGCCACGCUCUUUAGCGGAAUGUGUGAAGUCGUGGGCGUACUUUGCGUGCCAAUAUCGCCGCACUGCGCCAAGAUUCAAGCAAGGUUGCAUGUCUGCUCUGUGAUGAGGCUCAUGGAGAUUUGCUUGGUCUUUCCGAACGGGGUCCUGACCCUUUCAGCAGACACCUCGUGCAUUUUUCAUCAUUCACUCAUCUAGGUUCAGGGCUAACCCUGGGAUUCAAUCAAAAUCUGCUGAGUCACAUUAAGGCUAAAGGGCUAUUCAAUAGAUAGAGGCAGAAAGAACAAAUUAAUCCACACUGAAGUCUUCCGUAUCUUCAGUAAACCAACAAGUCUUGUUAUAAGCUGUGUUUUUUCAUUAGCGCCUUCCUUAAGAUGUCUUGGCGGAUGUGAUUGAAUCGGGGGAUGGGUGUCGAGGGAGACACUAGUCUCAGAGCUGCCAUUGUGGAUUUCAGGAUUUUUGAUGUCAGGGCCCCCAAAAUGAACCCAAAAAGCAAACUAAAAGGACGUUUUUUUUUUCCUGCCUUUCUGGUUUCCUGGCCAAAUUCACUCUCCAUUGCCAUGGUUACACGAUUCCUCUCCUGUUUUGUUGUUGUGGCUGUCACUCUGAAAGGCUUUCCACUUUUAAUGGCUUAGUUUUUUUUUGUGGUUUUGAAAAGCACUCCUCCAGCUCCUCUGCAGUUGCAAACACUGCAGUGUUCUGGGUGACCUUGGUCAUGACGGACGACCUUGACUCCAACUUGCAGGGUUGAAGCUCCGUGAGCGGAACAAUAAAUGCAUGAAUAUUAGUAAAAAAAAAGAAAGAAUAUUAGUUCAAAAAUCGAAUAACUGAAGCUCUGCAGUUUCCCACAGUGGUGGCUAAUGCUGUUGAAUAUGUGCCUGGGGACGUGGGUAAUGAGGCUCACGUAUGUGAUUAAAGAUUAAAUACAGCCACGUUUAAUCCGAUCGUUGCCACUGGAAAUGGUUAGACCCUUCCUGGACAGGGAGGGGAUGCCCCCGUCUGCACACUAACCCUGGCUUUGCACUCAUUUUCCUGUGCAUGACAUGAUGGCUCUUUCACUGGGAGAGCGUGUCAGCAUGUCCACCACGCCGCUGUGUCUGUGUGUGUGUAAGUGAGAGAGAGUUCCUUACUUGGUGUUUAAACAGAGGGGUAACUUUUUUUUUGUUUCUCCCGUACACAGAAUGAAAUGAUCCAUUCAGAUAUGAGAUUCUGGCUUUGUUGCGUUCUGCUGUUGCUUUAGCGUGUGUUCGCUGGGUCGUCACUGUUGUUGAUGGGUGUGGCUCCUUUUUCAGUACUGCAUGUCUUCAUGGUGCAGUUUUGCAGCUUGAAAUACCAGCUACCAGCUGUUUCAAAACCUAGCUUGAACUGUUUUCUUUUUCAGCAGGGUCAGUAGUGGCUUUCUUGGGCAGGCGAAUUGCUUUAAAUGUAAUCAUAAACUGCAGAUUUCAGUUUGGUUGGAGGCGAGUGCUUUCUUGCCGGGGGCAAUGAGAUGAUUCAGUGUGUUACUGUAGGAGUGGGGGCCAAGGGGCCAGAGGGUGACAGGGUGACAGAUUAUGAGAAGGUUAUAGAGGGUGACAGGUUUAUUGAGGACCGCAAGGUGACCCAAAUGAAGUCAGGAGGAAGUUCAAGAUAAUUUCUGCCUCAACAUCUGUUGUCAUGAGAAUAUAUACACUAGGCCUAUACCAUAAAUGCAUCACAGUAUUUCCCAUUGGUCAUGUACACUACCCUUUGUUAUGAUCUAAUUGUAGAAAUGUAAUGCUAGUGCAGGCUACCUGGGGUUCUCUGGGGAAUUAAAGUUGCUUUGUCUCCCUCUCUGUGAAACCAUGUGCGGAUUCAGCUGUUUUUCUGAAAAGCGCGAAAAAAGAGAAUUUAAUAAAUCCUUUUUUGGAGAGAACAAUAA